Molecule: ribosomal RNA, 305 nt
Filed under: uncultured bacterium
Lineage: Bacteria
Description: partial 16S ribosomal RNA
Rfam family: Bacterial small subunit ribosomal RNA
Source: RNAcentral
ACAGCAGCCGCCGCGGUAGUACGAAGGGGGCUAGCGUUGCUCGGAAUUACUGGGCGUAAAGGGAGCGUAGGCGGACAUUUAAGUCAGGGGUGAAAUCCCAGAGCUCAACUCUGGAACUGCCUUUGAUACUGGGUGUCUUGAGUGUGAUAGAGGUAUGUGGAACUCCGAGUGUAGAGGUGAAAUUCGUAGAUAUUCGGAAGAACACCAGUGGCGAAGGCGACAUACUGGAUCAUUACUGACGCUGAGGCUCGAAAGCGUGGGGAGCAAACAGGAUUAGAUACCCCAGUAGUCCCUGUCUCUUAUAA